AGUCGCACGGGGUAGCAAUACCCAGUGGCGCAAGGGUGAGUAAUGUAUCGCUAAUGUACCCCGGACUCUGGGAUAGCUGCCCGAAAGGGCAGGUAAUACCAGAUGAUAUAACCGGCCCGCAUGGGUUGGUUCUCAAAGGUCCGCCGGUCUGGGCGCAGGCGAUAUCGUAUCAGCUAGUUGGUGAGGUAACGGCCCACCAAGGCAACGACGCGUAGCCGGACUGAGAGGUCGGUCGGCCACAUCGGGACUGAGACACUGCCCGGACUCCUACGGGGGGCUGCAGUAACGAAUCUUCCCCAAUGGGCGCAAGCCUGAGGGAGCGACGCCGCGUGGAGGAUGAAGUCCUUCGGGAUGUAAACUCCUGUCAGGGGUUAGAAAGUUCUGAUCAACCCCAAAGGAAGAGACGGCUAACUCUGUGCCAGCAGCCGCGGUAAGACAGAGGUCUCAAGCGUUAGGCGGAAUCACUGGGCUUAAAGCGUGUGUAGGCGGAUCGUUAAGUGCUUUGUGAAAUCCCACAGCUCAACUGUGGAACUGCUUGGCAUACUGGCGGUCUUGAGCCAUCUAGGGGUCGCUGGAACAAACGGUGGAGCGGUGAAAUGCGUAGAUAUCGUUUGGAACGCCAAUGGUGAAAACAGGCGACUGGGGAUGUGCUGACGCCGAGACACGAAAGCCAGGGGAGCAAACGGGAUUAGAUACCCCGGUAGUCCUGGCCCUAAACGAUGUCCACUAGAUCGUAGUACCUCUGACGGUUUUACGGUCGAAGCAAAAGUGCUAAGUGGACCGCCUGGGAAGUACGGUCGCAAGG
RNAcentral lists this ribosomal RNA (805 nucleotides) under uncultured bacterium. RNAcentral describes it as "bacterial SSU rRNA". It matches the Rfam family "Bacterial small subunit ribosomal RNA", at positions 60 to 893 of the family's 1533-position model. The record is from RNAcentral.